This 486-nucleotide ribosomal RNA is filed under the name uncultured microorganism. Its description in RNAcentral is "bacterial SSU rRNA". It matches the Rfam family "Bacterial small subunit ribosomal RNA", at positions 9 to 492 of the family's 1533-position model. The record is from RNAcentral.
GAGUUUGAUCUUGGCUCAGGAUGAACGCUGGCGGCGUGCCUAACACAUGCAAGUCGAACGGAGUUCUUAAGGAAUGCGGCUUCGGCCAAAUGACUUUUGAACUUAGUGGCGGACGGGUGAGUAACGCGUGAGCAACCUGCCUUUCAGAGGGGGAUAACAUUUGGAAACAGAUGCUAAUACCGCAUAAGAUUACAGUACCGCAUGAUACAGUGAUCAAAGGAGCAAUCCGCUGAAAGAUGGGCUCGCGUCCGAUUAGAUAGUUGGUGAGGUAACGGCUCGCCAAGUCGACGAUCGGUAGCCGGACUGAGAGGUUGAACGGCCACAUUGGGACUGAGACACGGCCCAGACUCCUACGGGAGGCAGCAGUGGGGAAUAUUGCACAAUGGGCGAAAGCCUGAUGCAGCAACGCCGCGUGAGGAAGACGGUUUCGGAUUGUAAACCUCUGUUUUCGGUGACGAACAAAUGACGGUAACCGAGUAGGAAGCC